CUAUAAAGUCACAGCCAAAGGCUCUGAAAGCACAAGUGAAGAAUCUGAGCUGACCCAAAAGCAGUGGGUCCCAUCGUGUCUCCAGACAGGACCAAGCUCCCAGGCUCUGCCUGGGAAGCACAGAGCCUUCUGCCAGCUGGAGUUCAAGCGGAUGCUGACGGAGUGAUGUGAGCUGCUCCUGCCAGGCUUGGUGUGCUCCCAGUGCUCCUGCAGGCACCUCCUAGCAUGGUCCCCCUGCCAGGCUGCUCCGCGGGUGCCAGCAGUGCCCGCCCGGCUCCAGGGACUCCAGGCUGACCCCACACCCCUGGCACUGGACCCACCGAGCAGGAACCGUGUGGGUGCUUCUGGAGCAGCUGGUCGAUAGAUCUGCUCUUUGAAAGGCUGGCACAGCCUCAGACAGGAAGAUCUGCUGUUUACCAAGCAACACUCUG
RNAcentral lists this long non-coding RNA (431 nucleotides) under Lepidothrix coronata (blue-crowned manakin). RNAcentral describes it as "lncRNA (ENSLCOG00000007471.1)". The record is from RNAcentral. Lineage: Eukaryota; Metazoa; Chordata; Aves; Passeriformes; Pipridae.